CCUACGGGCGGCAGCAGUGAGGAAUCUUGGUCAAUGGGCUUACGCCUGAACCAGCCAAGUCGCGUGAGGGAAGACUGCCCUAUGGGUUGUAAACCCCUUUUGUCAGGGAGCAAUUGCCGCUACGUGUAUCGUCACCGUGAGUACCUGAAUAAAAAGCAUCGGCUAACUCCGUGCCAGCAGCCGCGGUAAUACGGAGGAUGCGAGCGUUAUCGGGAUUUAUUGGGUUUAAAGGGUGCGUAGGCGGAAUGCCAAGUCAGCGGUAAAAUCGCGGGGCUAAACCUCGCUGCGCCGUUGAAACUGGCGUACUUGAGUGGACGAGAGGAAUGCGGAAUGCGAGGUGUAGCGGUGAAAUGCAUAGAUAUCACGAAGAACUCCAGUGGCGAAGGCAGCAUACCGGCGCCCAACUGACGCUGAAGUACGAAAGCGUGGGUAGCGAACAGGAUUAGAUACCCGGGUAGUC
RNAcentral lists this ribosomal RNA (460 nucleotides) under uncultured bacterium. Its description in RNAcentral is "partial 16S ribosomal RNA". It matches the Rfam family "Bacterial small subunit ribosomal RNA", at positions 338 to 795 of the family's 1533-position model. The record is from RNAcentral.